This 374-nucleotide ribosomal RNA is filed under the name uncultured organism. RNAcentral's name for it is "bacterial SSU rRNA". It matches the Rfam family "Bacterial small subunit ribosomal RNA", at positions 526 to 896 of the family's 1533-position model. The record is from RNAcentral.
CAGAGGGUGCGAGCGUUGUUCGGAAUUACUGGGCGUAAAGCGCGCGUAGGCGGUCGUUUAAGUCUUACCGUGAAAUGCCGGGGCUCAACCCCGCGCACGUCGGGGGAUACUGGACGACUGGAGACAAGUAGAGGCGAGCGGAAUUCCGGGUGUAGCGGUGGAAUGCGUAGAGAUCCGGAAGAACACCAGAGGCGAAGGCGGCUCGCUGGGCUUGGUCUGACGCUGAGGCGCGAAAGCGUGGGGAGCGAACAGGAUUAGAUACCCUGGUAGUCCACGCCGUAAACGAUGGAUGCUAGGCGCUGGGCGGAUCGACCCGGUCAGUGUCGCAGCUAACGCGAUAAGCAUCCCGCCUGGGGAGUACGGCCGCAAGGCUG